Molecule: long non-coding RNA, 1227 nt
Organism: Thalassophryne amazonica
Lineage: Eukaryota; Metazoa; Chordata; Actinopteri; Batrachoidiformes; Batrachoididae
Exons: 2
Source: RefSeq, a predicted model, not a curated record
UACUUCUCUACCUUGCGUACGUAUCUUGUACAUCUCACGUACGUAUGUUGUACAUCUGCGUAUAUAGCUUCUCCAUCUUGCAUAUGUAUCUUCUCCAUCUCUCAUACAUAUCUUCUCAAUGUUGUAUACAUGUGUUCUCUCUCUCACGUACACAUAGACUUUAUUUCAAGCAUUCUAUCAUAUACGUAUAUGUGAGAGUAAAUACAUAUUUUAUGGAUAAGUACAUAGCUUGUGCGUGUCACGUGUGUAGCUUCUCCAUCUUGCAUAUAUAUAUCUUCUCCAUGUCUCAUACACAUCUUCGGACUCUUGUGUACAUGUGUUCUCUCUCACGUACACAUAGACUUUAUUUCAUGCAUUCUCUCAAAUACAUAUAUGUGAGAGUAAAUACAUAUAUAUGGAUAAGUACAUAGCUUGUAGCUUGUGCAUCUCGCAUACAUAGCUUAUGUGUCAGGUGUAUGUAGUUUCUCCAUCUUGCAUAUCUAUCUUCUAAAUCUUGUGUACGUGUUCUCUCUCACACAUACGCAUAGACUUUAUCAUGCAUUUUCUCAUAUAUGUACAUGUGAGAGCAAAUACGCUUGUGCAUCUCACGUACAUAGCUUGUGUGUCUCACGUACAUACAUAUUUAUCUUCUCCAUAUCUAAUACAUAUCUCCUAAAUCUUGCAUACGUUUUCUCUCACGUACAGACACAUAUAGACUUUAUCUUGUGCAUUCUCUCAUAUACAUGUGUGUAUGAAUAAGUGAGAAUACAUUUCUGUAUGUGAGAGUAAUAAAAAAAAUAAUUGUGGCUUGCAGGACCACUCACAGACAGUUGGUAUUAGUUGUAUUUCUCAGUCAUGCAAGAUGCAAAUAAGAAUGAACUCCUGCUAACAGUUCGGCGUGACACAACCACACCGCUACCAUCGUUUUCAUUGAAUUAUUUUGUCUCUUCUUCCUCAUUAACAUGUGUUUCUGUGUCUGUGUAAAGUGGUACGCAUAUAUUUAUUUUCAAAUUAUAUUGUUUUUAUAUAAAAUAAGCAAAAGGUUGCUGUGUUGUGAAUGCUGUGUUUUCAAGCUAUUUAAUUGAGGCUACGUGAGUUUUCCGUGUGUGUACAGCAAGGUGAUUCUCAUUGAGCAAGAACCCCUGAAGAAUGUACUCAGGAAGUAACUAGAAGCAAGAGAUUCCUGAGGGUUUUUAUGAGAGGCAGGAAGAAACCCAGCCUCGUGAAUAAAAUUGCACUUUGAAGGAA